GAAAAACUGUUGUGGCAACCAUUGAAUCGCCACAUAACCAUUUAUGGUGACUAGGUCGCCACCAUUUCUUGUCUUUUUGCCUUUAGAAAGAGGAGAGUGAUAUAAAGCCCCAAUUUGCCUUAAACUUGUCGUCGUUCACCAUCCACUAUCAGAUUUCGAAGGUUGCUUCCAAUUUUCUGGACAUACUUUAAGCGUGAAGAAGUGUAAAAAGGAAUGGCAAGAUUUGCACGAGGUAGAGGUAGAGGUCGGCGAGGUGGAAGGGGCCGUGGGCGUGGUAGUGUUGAAGGAGUACGUGAUAAUUUUGCAGUGGUGUCAUCCGUAAAUAUUAACCCAUCACAUAGACCUACACUUGAUCAAUCAUCUCAGCCACAAGCACAAACAAUAGGGAUUCCCGAAGCAAUUCAGUGUACUUCUCCAGGCUUUCAGACCCCUGGAACAAGUCAAAAACAAUUGUCGGGGUCACAAUUAUCAAGGAAUAUGGAAGGAAGUGUACAUCCCUCUUCAGUGAAUUUAAAUAGUGGUGAAGUUUCUUGCAGCAAAUCUAAGAAAGGCAGGGGGAAAUAUCGAUCCAUAAACGUGGAAAUGAAAACCAAAUAUGGUAGCAAAAUCACAGUUCAUAUUCCGGAUGACAUUGAUAGAGCUGUAGGUCCUGGGGCUAGAGAUAUUGUCAAUUAUUGUGGCUUAACCAUGAGGAGCACUAUCUCGUUUAGAGAUGGUGAUUGGGCUACAAUUUUUGCAAAAGAUGGAGAAAAAAU
This 755-nucleotide unclassified non-coding RNA is filed under the name Hevea brasiliensis (rubber tree). The record is from RNAcentral. Lineage: Eukaryota; Viridiplantae; Streptophyta; Magnoliopsida; Malpighiales; Euphorbiaceae.